AACGAACGCUGGCGGCAGGCCUAACACAUGCAAGUCGAGCGAGGACUUCGGUCCUAGCGGCGGACGGGUGAGUAACGCGUGGGAACGUGCCCUUUGCCUCGGAAUAACCCUGGGAAAAUGGGAGUAAUACCGGAUGAGCACUUUGGGGGAAAGAUUUAUCGGCGAAGGAUCGGCCCGCGUUGGAUUAGGUAGUUGGUGGGGUAAUGGCCUACCAAGCCGACGAUCCAUAGCUGGUUUGAGAGGAUGAUCAGCCACACUGGGACUGAGACACGGCCCAGACUCCUACGGGAGGCAGCAGUGGGGGAUCUUAGACAAUGGGGGAAACCCUGAUCUAGCCAUGCCGCGUGAGCGAUGAAGGCCUUAGGGUUGUAAAGCUCUUUCAGCUGGGAAGAUAAUGACGGUACCAGCAGAAGAAGCCCCGGCUAACUCCGUG
Molecule: ribosomal RNA, 433 nt
Filed under: uncultured bacterium
Lineage: Bacteria
Description: partial 16S ribosomal RNA
Rfam family: Bacterial small subunit ribosomal RNA
Source: RNAcentral